CCGAGCUGCGGCAGCGUGAGAGCGGCUGUUUGUAUCUGAAGCUGCUGCAGCGCUACUGAUUCAUUGUCUGGAUAAUAGUGUUGCAGCUCCCCCCGGGGGAGUGUCUCCCCGCCCACAGCGCCCCCCUGUGGAGGGAGGCUGCAGGAAUGACUGAGCAGUGGCAGAAAGUACUGUAUUUAGGUACACAUUUAAGAUACUCCCCUUGAAAACUGAUCACAGCAAUGCCUGUCAUAAAGAACUAUCUUCACCUACAAGAAAGAGUCUUGCAACAGAUGGUAAGACCCCCCAUGGAACCUUGAUCUCAACAUCAUGGAGUCAUUCUGGGAUUACAUGAAGAGACAGAAUCAUCCAACACGCCUAAAUCCACAUAAGAACUGA
This is a long non-coding RNA of Thunnus maccoyii (southern bluefin tuna), 378 nucleotides long. RefSeq lists it as uncharacterized. The record is from RefSeq and is a predicted model, not a curated record. Lineage: Eukaryota; Metazoa; Chordata; Actinopteri; Scombriformes; Scombridae. The transcript is spliced from 3 exons.